GCCCGGUGCUGGAAGGUUAAGGGGAGUGGUUAGGAGCAAUCCGAAGCUGUGAACCGAAGCCCCAGUAAACGGCGGCCGUAACUAUAACGGUCCUAAGGUAGCGAAAUUCCUUGUCAGGUAAAUUCUGACCCGCACGAAUGGCGUAACGACUUGGGCGCUGUCUCAACGAGAGAUCCGGUGAAAUUUUAAUACCUGUGAAGAUGCAGGUUAC
This 211-nucleotide ribosomal RNA is filed under the name Bacillus sp. SRB_28. RNAcentral describes it as "partial 23S ribosomal RNA". It matches the Rfam family "Bacterial large subunit ribosomal RNA", at positions 1861 to 2069 of the family's 2925-position model. Lineage: Bacteria; Bacillati; Bacillota; Bacilli; Caryophanales; Bacillaceae. The record is from RNAcentral.